GACGAACCGUGCGAACGUUGUUCGGAAUCACUGGGCUUAAAGGGCGCGUAGGCGGGCUGCCAAGUUCGGGGUGAAAUCCUCCCGCUUAACGGGAGAACGGCCUCGAAUACUGGCGGUCUCGAGGGAGGUAGGGGCGUGCGGAACUAUGGGUGGAGCGGUGAAAUGCGUUGAUAUCCAUAGGAACUCCGGUGGCGAAGGCGGCACGCUGGACCUUUUCUGACGCUGAGGCGCGAAAGCCAGGGGAGCAAAC
RNAcentral lists this ribosomal RNA (250 nucleotides) under uncultured bacterium. RNAcentral's name for it is "partial 16S ribosomal RNA". It matches the Rfam family "Bacterial small subunit ribosomal RNA", at positions 524 to 773 of the family's 1533-position model. The record is from RNAcentral.